Molecule: RNA transcript, 3860 nt
Organism: Paralichthys olivaceus (Japanese flounder)
Lineage: Eukaryota; Metazoa; Chordata; Actinopteri; Pleuronectiformes; Paralichthyidae
Gene name: phosphatidylinositol 4-phosphate 5-kinase type-1 gamma-like
Source: RefSeq, a predicted model, not a curated record
GAGGCAGAGUCUUGAUGAUGAAAACAGAGACAUGCACACGCCCGUGGAGCUACAGGCCCUGACUGCAGCAGCGGACAUCGAAGACAUGACGGGAUUUCUGGAUUGAGUGGAGGCGCACAUCUGCUUCUGUUUGAGGAGGGACACGGCUGCGCGUCCUGGAGAUGGACGGCAGCACUGCGGAACCCGGCGAUGACGGGUCUGCCAGCCUCAGCAUACAGCUCGACCUGGGGGACACUGAUUCCGCCAAGAGGGCUCAGACCACAGAGAUGCCGUCCCCGUUUGGAGCGGGCCUAGCCCACGAGAGGAAGAUCGGUCACAGAAGGGUCGACGCCUCUGGAGAGACGACAUACAAGAAGACCACCUCCUCUGCCUUGAAAGGGGCCAUCCAGCUGGGUAUUGGCUACACCGUUGGCAACCUCAGCUCCAAGCCUGAGAGAGACGUGCUGAUGCAAGACUUCUACGUGGUCGAAAGCAUUUUCUUCCCCAAUGAAGGCAGCAACCUCACGCCCGCCCACCACUACCUAGACUUCAGGUUUAAAACCUACGCUCCUGUGGCCUUCCGCUACUUCAGAGAGCUGUUUGGGAUCCGACCUGAUGACUACCUGUAUUCUCUCUGUAAUGAGCCGUUGAUUGAGUUGACGAAUCCAGGAGCAAGUGGCUCCAUAUUUUACGUCACCCGUGAUGAUGAGUUCAUCAUCAAAACCGUCCAGCACAAGGAGGCUGAGUUUCUACAGAAGCUGCUCCCUGGAUACUACAUGAACCUUAACCAGAACCCCCGAACUUUGCUGCCAAAGUUUUUUGGCCUGUACUGCGUCCAGUGUGGGGGGAAGAACAUCAGAGUUGUCGUGAUGAACAACAUUUUACCACGUUCCGUACGCAUGCACCUCAAGUUCGACCUGAAGGGCUCAACAUACAAGAGGAGAGCUUCCAAGAAGGAGAGAGAGAAGUCCAAACCUACUUUCAAAGACCUGGACUUUCUGUGUGACGUUCCUGAAGGCCUCAUUCUGGACCAAGACACAUACAGUGCUCUGGUCAAAACGCUACAGAGAGACUGUCUGGUUCUGGAGAGUUUUAAGAUCAUGGACUACAGUUUGCUGCUUGGUGUCCACAAUAAGACCCAAGCAGAGAGAGAGUAUCAGUCCCAGGGUUCGCCUUCGGCCGGCGGGGAUGAAAAGAAGCCGGCAGCCCAGAGAGCCUUGUACUCCACUGCUAUGGAGUCUAUACAGGGAGGCUCCACCUGCAGGGAUACACUGGACCAUGACGACACUAUGGGUGGCAUUCCAGCUGUCAGUGGUAAGGGAGAGCGCCUCCUGCUGUUUAUCGGGAUUAUUGAUAUUCUGCAGUCCUACAGACUGAUUAAGAAACUGGAGCACUCCUGGAAGUCGCUCAUCCAUGAUGGGGACACAGUGUCAGUCCACAGACCAGCUUUCUAUGCUGAGAGGUUCUACAAGUUCUGCAGCACCAUUGUGUUCAAGAAGAGCAGCUCAUUGCGAUCCUCUCCAUCUAAGAGGGGCCGAGGGGCUCUCUCCAUGUCGAAGUCCAGUGCAGGGACAGGUUCAGCUGGACAGAGACCCUCAGUGAGUGACGAGAGGCAGGAGAACCUGGACAACCUUGACAACCUGGAGAACCUGCGCGGAGCUCACAGCUUCCCAAUGCUGGAGGGCAACGGGAGAGAACCACCCUGCACUCCUCCGUCAUUUGAAGACGCCACCACGGCAUCUAUUGCCACCACGCUUUCGUCCAACAACUCCUUACCCACCACCCCCUUCGAUACACCGGAGCACCCGCGCUUCAGGAAACAACUGAACUCACCAAGUGUGAUCAGGUCACAAAAAGAGGUGGUUGAGCUUCAUGGGGAGAAGCAGGACACCAUAACAGUGGAGGUGGAGUUAAGUAAAAUCCCCCAGAGCACGGAGCUCACACAAAUGACAGACAUGACCUCCCCCAGCCACCUGUCACCUGAUCAUGAGCCCCGCACCUUCCCUCCAUCCACCCCUCCCUCUGUCAGUCCAUCCAAAGCACAUUCCUCCUCCACCCUUCCCCCUUGCCUUCUUUCUUCCUCCUCUGCUGCCCAACCCACCAGGAAGUCUUCCUCCACCACGCUCUCCUCAUCCAUCUGUCCGUCCACCAAACCACUCACCUCUCCCACGGUUGCUCAGUCUUCUACUCCCUCUCCUCUAAUCUCUCACUCGGCCGCACCAUCCACGCGUCCCACCUCGGCCAGCGCCUCCACGCUUCCUCCCGCCUCGGCAUUUACUCCCAUCUGCCCCGCGUCUCCUCACUCCCCCACCCAAAGCUCCUCUCACCCUCUCCCCUCGACGCCUCCCUCCUCUGUCCCUCCGAGUCCCCAGGUGCCUCAGCAGGAGCCGCGCAAGUCGUGCAAUCAGCUGUCUUUGUCCAGCAGUCACAACUCUUUGGAUGGAGAGGUGCAGGUGUCCGACAUCUAUUUUUGGCACAGUCAGGACAGCGUGGUAGAGUUGUAAUGACUCAGGAGGAUCGGAGCUGGGUGUACUCUCCUCUGCACUUCAGCUCAGAGUCCAGACGGGGCUCAGAUGGGGAGAGUGAGACAUAACUCAAGGUGGAGACGGCAGGGACAGGUGGAGCAGGAGGCUUUCUCCAUAUAGAGGAGCUGAGAGGUUUUAAUAAUAAAGCCGCCAGGACUCGAUGAAGAUUCAACUCUGGCUGGCCAAGCUGCACGCGGACGCCCCGCUUUGCCAACUGUGACAGACCCUAAGGAAUAUAGAAGUAUACAACAAUGCAAAGACAAACGAUUAUCAAAAUAUUAUGCAAGAAAAAAAUCAUAAAUCUUAAACUAUUGAUUCAUGGACAAUCUGACUGACAUCAAGGGGAGAGAUGAACUAUGGAUGAUUUCUGGUGUUGUUGGUCCUGCUGUGGAGGUGCACUGUGCCAGCUCUGGCUAUGCAAUACAGACGUACAGGACGGGACAUCAGUUCCUCUUUUUGACUGAUUAUGACUUUAUUCAUGCUUUUAUUUUUCAUUUGGGACAUGUCAAUGCUGUAUAUAAUCUUAAUUUUUAGCACUUUAUCAGUCAUUUGCAAUCAUUUAUGUUUGUCGUUAGUUAUUGUGUAAAAAAACAACACUGAAACGGUCAAUGAUGUUUUGUGUUUGCACUGUGUUCUUUUUCUCCAGUGGUGUUUGGUGAUCCACUUGAUAUGACAGUGAAUGGUCGUGUUUCAAAAUGCCUUAUCGACAAACUCAUUUUUGAUAUUUCACUCCCAUCAUUUUAAAAGCAAUCAUUUUAAAAAAAGUAAAUAUAUAGAAAGUAUUAUAUUAUGCGUAAAUACCAGAUCUAUAGCAGCCAUGCAUUUACACCUUAUCAGGUUUAGAAAAUGGACAUCAACUGAGAAGAAAAAAAAAUCUAAUUAUCUUUUGUAUAUUGUGGAGAAAGUGUGUAUUGUGUGUGCUUAAGCACAUGCAUGUAAGUCUGUACAUCCCCUCCUGUGUCAGCGUGUGCAUGUGUUCGCAUGCAUGUGAUGUGUGAUUGGGAGAUUUUUCUGUCUUGCCUAAUCAUCAAAAUGUCAAAAGCUAAAUGUAACUUCCAUUUAUUGUUAUAAAUCAUGAAGGUCUGAAGCAGCUAUGAGCAUGUUGGCUGUGACAUAUCUGAGAAAUAUCAAACAAAGGAUGUACCGACGCUGGAUUUAACAAACUGAACUUCUCUGUACAGUUUAGUGAGAAACCACAGAAAACACCUUCCUCCUUUCAUCCAUCAUACAUGGUGAUACUCAGUGAAAACUAACCUGGCCGUGUUUAAACUUCCUGUCUGUGAGCACUUCUGUAACUUAUUAUUGUAUCAUUUGAGUAUGCUGACAUUAACCUGCCAGUUUAUGGUCAACAGUGUU